CGCCGUUGCGGCGGCGGUAAAUAGGCGAUUAAGCCGCAAGCGUGCCCGCCGUCGUGCGGGCGGUUCGC
RNAcentral lists this ribozyme (68 nucleotides) under unclassified sequences. RNAcentral describes it as "pistol ribozyme". It matches the Rfam family "Pistol ribozyme". The record is from RNAcentral.